CCUACGGGAGGCAGCAGUGGGGACUAUUGCACAAUGGGGGAAACCCUGAUGCAGCAACGCCGCGUGAGUGAGGAAGUAUUUCGGUAUGUAAAGCUCUAUCAGCAGGGAAUAGAAAAGAAGGUACCUGAAAAAGACGCCCCGGCUAACUACGUGCCAGCAGCCGCGGUAAUACGUAGGGGGCAAGCGUUAUCCGGAUUUACGGGGUGUAAAGGGAGCGUAGACGGAGAGACAAGUCAGAUGUGAAAUCCACGGGCUCAACCCGUGAACUGCAUUUGAAACUGUUUCCCUUGAGUGUCGGAGAGGUAAUCGGAAUUCCUUGUGUAGCGGUGAAAUGCGUAGAUAUAAGGAAGAACACCAGUGGCGAAGGCGGAUUACUGGACGAUAACUGACGGUGAGGCGCGAAAGCGUGGGGAGCAAACAGGAUUAGAUACCCUUGUAGUC
This 441-nucleotide ribosomal RNA is filed under the name uncultured bacterium. RNAcentral's name for it is "partial 16S ribosomal RNA". It matches the Rfam family "Bacterial small subunit ribosomal RNA", at positions 338 to 795 of the family's 1533-position model. The record is from RNAcentral.